This 454-nucleotide ribosomal RNA is filed under the name uncultured bacterium. RNAcentral describes it as "bacterial SSU rRNA". It matches the Rfam family "Bacterial small subunit ribosomal RNA", at positions 8 to 507 of the family's 1533-position model. The record is from RNAcentral.
AGAGUUUGAUCAUGGCUCAGAGCGAACGCUGGCGGCAGGCCUAACACAUGCAAGUCGAACGGACCCUUCGGGGGUUAGUGGCGGACGGGUGAGUAACACGUGGGAACGUGCCUUUAGGUUCGGAAUAGCUCCUGGAAACGGGUGGUAAUGCCGAAUGUGCCCUUCGGGGGAAAGAUUUAUCGCCUUUAGAGCGGCCCGCGUCUGAUUAGCUAGUUGGUGGGGUAAUGGCCCACCAAGGCUACGAUCAGUAGCUGGUCUGAGAGGAUGACCAGCCACAUUGGGACUGAGACACGGCCCAAACUCCUACGGGAGGCAGCAGUGGGGAAUCUUGCGCAAUGGGCGAAAGCCUGACGCAGCCAUGCCGCGUGUAUGAUGAAGGUCUUAGGAUUGUAAAAUACUUUCACCGGUGAGGAUAAUGACUGUAGCCGGAGAAGAAGCCCCGGCUAACUUCGUG